Molecule: long non-coding RNA, 872 nt
Filed under: Mytilus galloprovincialis (Mediterranean mussel)
Lineage: Eukaryota; Metazoa; Mollusca; Bivalvia; Mytilida; Mytilidae
Source: RNAcentral
GUUGCAAAUUCACAUAAGUAAUGCUAUACAUUGUGAAGUUUAAAUGGCUAAUUCAUUAUAUUUAUUUUUCAUUCAUUGAUUCAAUCUCAAACAGAACAAAUGCCUUCCAAUAUGAAUGUUAUAUUGUACAGGUUACAGAAUGGCCUUGGGUCAAGUUUUAUUCAAAAAAGAGUCCAACUAAUAAGGCAUGUACUUGGUGGAUAGAGAAUGAGCAACAUUAUAUUAUAUCCAAUGAUGAAGUGAUAAAGAAACUUUUGCCACCUACUAUCCAAAUGAAGGGACGUCGGAAAUAGUACAGCUUUAAUGGUAAUUAGCCAUCUGCUAAACAAAUAAUAUUAUACUAUUUAUACACAAGUUCCACGUUUGGAACUGAAAAGCCUACCUUUCUAAUUACCUGAUUCAAUCAGUUUCACUUGUUACAGAGUGUCCUGAAGUUGGUCCAGACCUGUCUUUUUAAUUACCAUCAUUGUGGUCAGUUUAUUGUCUAAUUCUUCCGAGUUUUAUUCGGUAUCUUUGAAUUUCUCUUAAGCUUACACACAGAAGGUAAGAACAAUAAAUGAACAAAUUCAAUACUUUGUCACGGAUAUAUGUGUGUUUUAAGUUAAAUGAAAUGGAAAUUGAUUACAUGAUUGAAACAAAAACAUCUUAUGAAUAUGUAAUAUAUUUCUUUUAUUUUUCAGGUUUAUAAGAAGAACAAAAAGGAGAAAUGCAGUCAUGACUUUGGGUUAUGUCACAAUUAAAAUCAACUAUAUAUCAAUAUUUUAUUUUUCUUUUGAUUAAAGUACAUUAAAAACAAACGCUUAAAGUUAGGAAACUAUCUAUACAUAUAUUUGUAAUGAAUAUCAGGGAAUCACAAUAUCAUACUUAAGAGC